RNAcentral lists this transfer RNA (84 nucleotides) under Candidatus Woesebacteria bacterium. Its description in RNAcentral is "tRNA-Leu". It matches the Rfam family "tRNA". From Rfam's summary of the family: Transfer RNA (tRNA) molecules are approximately 80 nucleotides in length. Their secondary structure includes four short double-helical elements and three loops (D, anti-codon, and T loops). The record is from RNAcentral. Lineage: Bacteria; Candidatus Woeseibacteriota.
GCCGUGGUGGCGGAAUCGGUAUACGCGUGAGUCUCAAAAACUCAUGGUCGCAAGGCCUUGUGGGUUCGAGUCCCACCCACGGCA